RNAcentral lists this ribosomal RNA (459 nucleotides) under uncultured bacterium. RNAcentral's name for it is "partial 16S ribosomal RNA". It matches the Rfam family "Bacterial small subunit ribosomal RNA", at positions 338 to 795 of the family's 1533-position model. The record is from RNAcentral.
CCUACGGGUGGCAGCAGUGAGGAAUAUUGGUCAAUGGGCGCGCGCCUGAACCAGCCAAGUCGCGUGAGGGAAGACGGUCCUAUGGAUUGUACACCUCUUUUGUCGGGGAGCAAAAGACGCCACGUGUGGCGUUCUGAGAGUACCCGAAGAAAAAGCAUCGGCUAACUCCGUGCCAGCAGCCGCGGUAAUAAUGAGGAUGCGAGCGUUAUCCGGAUUUAUUGGGUUUAAAGGGUGCGCAGGAGGAAGAUCAAGUCAGCGGUAAAAUUGAGUGGCUCAACCUCUUCGAGCCGUUGAAACUGGUUUUCUUGAGUGAGCGAGAAGUAUGCGGAAUGCGUGGUGUAGCGGUGAAAUGCAUAGAUAGCACGCAGAACUCCGAUUGCGAAGGCAGCAUACCGGCGCGCAACUGACGCUCAUGCACGAAAGUGUGGGUAUCGAACAGGAUUAGAUACCCUUGUAGUC